Molecule: ribosomal RNA, 791 nt
Filed under: uncultured archaeon
Lineage: Archaea
Description: bacterial SSU rRNA
Rfam family: Archaeal small subunit ribosomal RNA
Source: RNAcentral
ACUGCUCAGUAACACGUAGUCAACAUGCCCAGGGGACGUGGAUAACCUCGGGAAACUGAGGAUAAACCGCGAUAAGUCACUACUUCUGGAAUGGGUAAUGACUAAAAUCUACAUGGCCCCUGGAUUGGACUGCGGCCGAUCAGGCUGUUGGUGAGGUAAUGGCCCACCAAACCUGUAACCGGUACGGGCUCUGAGAGGAGGAGCCCGGAGAUGGGCACUGAGACAAGGGCCCAGGCCCUAUGGGGCGCAGCAGGCGCGAAACCUCUGCAAUAGGCGAAAGCCUGACAGGGUUACUCUGAGUGAUUUCCGCUAAGGAGAUCUUUUGGCACCUCUAAAAAUGGUGCAGAAUAAGGGGUGGGCAAGUCUGGUGUCAGCCGCCGCGGUAAUACCAGCACCCCGAGUGGUCGGGACGUUUAUUGGGCCUAAAGCAUCCGUAGCCGGUUCUACAAGUCUUCCGUUAAAUCCACCUGCUUAACAGAUGGGCUGCGGAAGAUACUAUAGAGCUAGGAGGCGGGAGAGGCAAGCGGUACUCGAUGGGUAGGGGUAAAAUCCGUUGAUCCAUUGAAGACCACCAGUGGCGAAGGCGGCUUGCCAGAACGCGCUCGACGGUGAGGGAUGAAAGCUGGGGGAGCAAACCGGAUUAGAUACCCGGGUAGUCCCAGCUGUAAACGAUGCAGACUCGGUGAUGAGUUGGCUUCUUGCCAACUCAGUGCCGCAGGGAAGCCGUUAAGUUUGCCGCCUGGGGAGUACGGUCGCAAGACUGAAACUUAAAGGAAUUGGCGGGGGAGCAC